ACUCAAAGGAAUUGACGGGGGCCCGCACAAGCAGCGGAGCAUGUGGUUUAAUUCGACGCAACGCGAAGAACCUUACCAAGGCUUGACAUGUACGGGAAUGUCGUGGAAACAUGGCAGCCCUUCGGGGCUCGUGCACAGGUGGUGCAUGGCUGUCGUCAGCUCGUGUCGUGAGAUGUUGGGUUAAGUCCCGCAACGAGCGCAACCCCCGUUCCUAGUUGCCAGCGGGUAAGCCGGGGACUCUAGGAAGACUGCCGGUGACAAAUCGGAGGAAGGUGGGGAUGACGUCAAGUCAUCAUGCCCCUUAUGUCUUGGGCUACACACGUGCUACAUUGGACGGUACAAAGGGCUGCUAACCCGUGAGGGGGAGCGAAUCCCAAAAAGCCGUUCCCGGUUCGGAUUGGAGGCUGAAACUCGCCUCCAUGAAGUCGGAGUUGCUAGUAAUCGCGGAUCAGCAACGCCGCGGUGAAUACGUUCCCGGGCCUUGCACACACCGCCCGU
This 498-nucleotide ribosomal RNA is filed under the name uncultured bacterium. RNAcentral's name for it is "partial 16S ribosomal RNA". It matches the Rfam family "Bacterial small subunit ribosomal RNA", at positions 899 to 1397 of the family's 1533-position model. The record is from RNAcentral.